GUUUCCAACGAUUCCCUGAUAUUUCAAGUUCAGUUAUGGAUGCUAGAUAUGUUACUCUGUGCUUUCUCCUAAUAAUUGGCUUAAAUGGAAAUCCAACAUCGGCAGAAAAUUGCUUUGAAUUUCCUAAAGUACAUCCAUUUUGCUUAAAGCCUUUGUGCAAGGGUAACUGUUAUUUGGAGGCCAAAUCCCAAGGUGUCAAUUUGAGAGGAUACUAUUGUGAUGGAAAUGGAUUCUGGGGCAUGUGCGUUUGUUCGUUUUGUAAACAUUAAUUAGUUCUCUCAAAAUAGAAAAUAAGAUAGCUCUACGUUUCAAUCCAUUAUCAAGAAGUGUUGUCCAAAUAAUUAUAGGUCGUAUGUUAACUAGUUUGCUCUUUUGUCAUAGAUAGUACACUAGUUAACUAGUUGUUAUUUUUCUAAAUUUCUCACAUAUGUUUGCUUUGAAGGUUCUUUGUCAAGGAACACAUGUGUUUUCAGUGGCUAAAUACUUUAAUAAUACAUUCUGAUGUGCUUUAGGAA
Long non-coding RNA from Sorghum bicolor (sorghum), 515 nucleotides. RefSeq lists it as uncharacterized. The transcript has 2 exons. The record is from RefSeq and is a predicted model, not a curated record. NCBI's taxonomy places the organism in Eukaryota, Viridiplantae, Streptophyta, Magnoliopsida, Poales, Poaceae.